This 392-nucleotide ribosomal RNA is filed under the name uncultured bacterium. RNAcentral's name for it is "bacterial SSU rRNA". It matches the Rfam family "Bacterial small subunit ribosomal RNA", at positions 28 to 417 of the family's 1533-position model. The record is from RNAcentral.
GACGAACGCUGGCGGCGUGCCUAACACAUGCAAGUCGAACGGGGUGAUUUCCUUCGGGAGAUCACUUAGUGGCAAACGGGUGAGUAACGCGUGAGAAACCUGCCUUUCAGUGGGGGACAACAGUUGGAAACGACUGCUAAUGCCGCAUAAUGUUAUUUAGGGGCAUCCCUGAAUAACCAAAGCUUUAUGUGCUGAAAGAUGGUCUCGCGUCUGAUUAGCUAGUUGGUGAGGUAACGGCUCACCAAGGCGACGAUCAGUAGCCGGUCUGAGAGGAUGAACGGCCACAUUGGGACUGAGAUACGGCCCAGACUCCUACGGGAGGCAGCAGUGGGGAAUAUUGGGCAAUGGGGGGAAACCCUGACCCAGCAACGCCGCGUGAAGGAAGAAGGCCU